UACGUAGGGUGCAAGCGUUAAUCGGAAUUACUGGGCGUAAAGCGUGCGCAGGCGGUUUUUUAAGCCAGAUGUGAAAUCCCCGAGCUUAACUUGGGAACUGCAUUUGGGACUGGAAGGCUAGAGUACGGCAGAGGGGACUGGAAUUCCUGGUGUAGCAGUGAAAUGCGUAGAUAUCAGGAGGAAUACCGAUGGCGAAGGCAGGUCUCUGGGCUGACACUGACGCUCAUGCACGAAAGCGUGGGGAGCAAACAGG
Molecule: ribosomal RNA, 253 nt
Filed under: uncultured bacterium
Lineage: Bacteria
Description: partial 16S ribosomal RNA
Rfam family: Bacterial small subunit ribosomal RNA
Source: RNAcentral